GACGAACGCUGGCGGCGUGCUUAACACAUGCAAGUCGAACGGAAAGGCCCUGCUUUUGUGUGGUGCUCGAGUGGCGAACGGGUGAGUAACACGUGAGUAUCCUGCCCUCGACUUUGGGAUAACUUCAGGAAACUGGGGCUAAUACCGGAUAGGUGCUCCUGCUGCAUGGUGGGGGUUGGAAAGUUUCGGCGGUUGGGGAUGGACUCGCGGCUUAUCAGCUUGUUGGUGGGGUAGUGGCUUACCAAGGCUUUGACGGGUAGCCGGCCUGAGAGGGUGACCGGCCACAUUGGGACUGAGAUACGGCCCAGACUCCUACGGGAGGCAGCAGUGGGGAAUAUUGCACAAUGGGCGGAAGCCUGAUGCAGCAACGCCGCGUGCGGGAUGACGGCCUUCGGGUUGUAAACCGCUUUCGCCUGUGACGAAGCGUGAGUGACGGUAAUGGGUAAAGAAGCACCGGCUAACUACGUG
This 468-nucleotide ribosomal RNA is filed under the name uncultured bacterium. RNAcentral's name for it is "partial 16S ribosomal RNA". It matches the Rfam family "Bacterial small subunit ribosomal RNA", at positions 28 to 507 of the family's 1533-position model. The record is from RNAcentral.